UAUGUAGGGGGCAAGCGUUGUCCGGAUUUAUUGGGCGUAAAGAGCGUGUAGGCGGCUUGACAGGUCUGCUGUGAAAACUCGAGGCUCAACCUCGAGAUGUCGGCGGAAACCGUCUGGCUAGAGUCCGGAAGAGGAGAGUGGAAUUCCUGGUGUAGCGGUGAAAUGCGCAGAUAUCAGGAAGAACACCUAUGGCGAAGGCAGCUCUCUGGGACGGUACUGACGCUGAGACGCGAAAGCGUGGGGAGCGAACAGG
Molecule: ribosomal RNA, 253 nt
Filed under: uncultured bacterium
Lineage: Bacteria
Description: partial 16S ribosomal RNA
Rfam family: Bacterial small subunit ribosomal RNA
Source: RNAcentral